CGCAUCUGUGCAUGCAGCAUAUCAAUAAGCGGAGGAAAAGAAACUAACAAGGAUUCCCCUAGUAACGGCGAGUGAAGCGGGAAGAGCUCAAAUUUGAAAUCUUAAAGGGUUUCCCUUUACGAAUUGUAGUUUAAAGAAGUGUUUUCUGUUGAGGUUUUGGUAAAAGUUCUUUGGAAUAGGACAUCAUAGAGGGUGAGAAUCCCGUAUUUGACCUUUACUUUCAACUUUGUGAUACACUUUCAAAGAGUCGGAUUGUUUGGGAAUGCAGUCCAAAAUGGGUGGUAAAUUUCAUCUAAAGCUAAAUAUUGGCGAGAGACCGAUAGCGAACAAGUACCGUGAGGGAAAGAUGAAAAGAACUUUGAAGAGAGAGUUAAACAGUACGUGAAAUUGUCAAAAGGGAAGCGUUUGACACCAGUGUUGUUUUUCUGAAAAUCAAUUAAAGAACUGUUUAUGCUAAGCUGUUUAGACUUUAUCAGCUAUCUGUUUAGUUUUGAGCUUUUCUUUAAUGCACUUUUCAGUUAACAAGUCAACAUCAAUUUCUUUUGCUGUAAAAAAGCUUGAGGAAGGUGGCUUGAGAUUCGUCUUAAGUGUUUAUAGCCUCUUGCCUAUGCAGUCGGAGAGAUUGAGGUCUGCAGCGUAGAUCCUUCGGGGCUAAAUGCAUUUGUGCUAAGUUAUAGCAUUUUAUAGACAACUUGUUGACUAUGAUUUGUCUUGUAGCUUACUCGCUUAUGUUAUUUUACCUACGCUUAGGAUGUUGAAUCUGUGCGAGACUAC
RNAcentral lists this ribosomal RNA (774 nucleotides) under uncultured Neocallimastigales. Its description in RNAcentral is "partial large subunit ribosomal RNA". It matches the Rfam family "Eukaryotic large subunit ribosomal RNA", at positions 26 to 644 of the family's 3401-position model. The record is from RNAcentral. Lineage: Eukaryota; Fungi; Neocallimastigomycota; Neocallimastigomycetes; Neocallimastigales.